UACGGGAGGCGACAGUAGGGAAUCUUCCGCAAUGGACGCAAGUCUGCCGGCGCGCCGCCGCGUGUCGUGCCGCCGGCCUUCGGGUCGCAAUCCCUCUGUUGUUCGGGCCUCCCCAGUUCCUCGUCCUCACUGCUCGUACCUUGUCCGGUACCUUAACGCGGUCCGCCUCGGCUCACUCCGUGCCAGCAGCCGCGGUAAUC
RNAcentral lists this ribosomal RNA (200 nucleotides) under uncultured bacterium. RNAcentral describes it as "partial 16S ribosomal RNA". It matches the Rfam family "Bacterial small subunit ribosomal RNA", at positions 340 to 525 of the family's 1533-position model. The record is from RNAcentral.